UCAAGGCAGAAACACAGCAGGGCUCCCCUCCCAGAAGCCCUGGGUAUUUUGGAAUCUGGUAUUUUGAACACCAGCAAGUUGGAGAUUCCCCCAACAGCUUGGUCCACAGGAAAAGGUGCCUUCAGCUGCAUGCCACAGUCCAGCUCAUGCCAAGGAGAACCAUUCUGCAGGGGUGUGUGUGUGCACCCUCAUCUAGGGUGCCUGCUUUUUCCUUCUGGAGGCAGACAGCAAGGAAGGGUUUGCUCUUCUUGGUGUUUUUUUGCAGUCUGACCUGCAUUCAAGUUUCAAACUUCUAAGUGUAAGCACUACAUUUUUGGUUAUUAUCAGACAGGUAUUUGGUAGGAAUAUAAGAAAGGCUAGAGCUUUUUUCCCCCUUUAGAUGCUUUGUCAACCUUGCUGUGUUAAUAAACAGCAUUGAAGAAAAGCCUCCAGAGUAAACACAGAGGCACAAAUGAAUGUAGGCAAUGGCAUCACCAAAAAUUGAGGCUGUUGUGAUUAUCUUAUUCAAAGGGAGAGUUCAAGAGUACCAGCAGACUCCUCUGUCCCAGAUUAAACUGCAAUCUCUCUA
Molecule: non-coding RNA, 568 nt
Organism: Cyanistes caeruleus (blue tit)
Lineage: Eukaryota; Metazoa; Chordata; Aves; Passeriformes; Paridae
Source: RefSeq, a predicted model, not a curated record